RNAcentral lists this ribosomal RNA (253 nucleotides) under uncultured bacterium. RNAcentral's name for it is "partial 16S ribosomal RNA". It matches the Rfam family "Bacterial small subunit ribosomal RNA", at positions 524 to 776 of the family's 1533-position model. The record is from RNAcentral.
GACGAAGGAUGCAAGCGUUAUCCGGAUUCAUUGGGUUUAAAGGGAGCGUAGGUGGCCUUAUAAGUCAGUGGUGAAAUCUCUGGGCUUAACCCAGAAAUUGCCAUUGAUACUGUAGGGCUUGAGUAUAGAUGCCGUUGGCGGAAUAUGACAUGUAGUGGUGAAAUACAUAGAGAUGUCAUAGAACACCGAUUGCGAAGGCAGCUAACGAAACUAUAACUGGCACUGAGGCUCGAAAGUGUGGGGAUCAAACAGG